RNAcentral lists this ribosomal RNA (718 nucleotides) under Tubakia dryina. Its description in RNAcentral is "eukaryotic LSU rRNA". It matches the Rfam family "Eukaryotic large subunit ribosomal RNA", at positions 107 to 854 of the family's 3401-position model. Lineage: Eukaryota; Fungi; Ascomycota; Sordariomycetes; Diaporthales; Tubakiaceae. The record is from RNAcentral.
GCUCAAAUUUGAAAUCUGGCUUCGGCCCGAGUUGUAAUUUGCAGAGGAUGCUUUUGGUGCGGUGCCUUCCGAGUUCCCUGGAACGGGACGCCACAGAGGGUGAGAGCCCCGUAUGGUCGGACACCAAUCCUGUGUAAAGCUCCUUCGACGAGUCGAGUAGUUUGGGAAUGCUGCUCUAAAUGGGAGGUAAAUCUCUUCUAAAGCUAAAUACCGGCCAGAGACCGAUAGCGCACAAGUAGAGUGAUCGAAAGAUGAAAAGCACCUUGAAAAGGGGGUUAAACAGUACGUGAAAUUGUUGAAAGGGAAGCACUUGUGACCAGACUUGGGCCGGGCGGCUCAUCAGGGGUUCUCCCCUGUGCAUUCCGCCCGGUACAGGCCAGCAUCGGUUCUUACCGGGGGAUAAGAACGGCAGGAACGUGGCUCCCUCUCGGGGGAGUGUUAUAGCCUGCCGUACGAUACCCUGGCGGGGACCGAGGUUCGCGCUUCCGCAAGGAUGCUGGCGUAAUGGUUACUAGUGACCCGUCUUGAAACACGGACCAAGGAGUCGUCCAUUAGAGCGAGCGUUUGGGUGUAAAACCCGCACGCGUAAUGAAAGUGAAAUUAGGUGAGAGCUUCGGCGCAUCAUCGACCGAUCCUGAUGUUCUCGGAUGGAUUUGAGUAAGAGUUUUAACGGACGGACCCGAAAGACAGUGAACUAUGCUUGUAUAGGGUGAAGCCA